UAACCUGCCCAAGAGACUGGGAUAACACCUGGAAACAGAUGCUAAUACCGGAUAACAACACUAGACGCAUGUCUAGAGUUUAAAAGAUGGUUCUGCUAUCACUCUUGGAUGGACCUGCGGUGCAUUAGCUAGUUGGUAAGGUAACGGCUUACCAAGGCAAUGAUGCAUAGCCGAGUUGAGAGACUGAUCGGCCACAUUGGGACUGAGACACGGUCCAAACUCCUACGGGAGGCAGCAGAU
RNAcentral lists this ribosomal RNA (240 nucleotides) under uncultured bacterium. RNAcentral describes it as "partial 16S ribosomal RNA". It matches the Rfam family "Bacterial small subunit ribosomal RNA", at positions 122 to 354 of the family's 1533-position model. The record is from RNAcentral.